GUCCACGCCCUAAACGAUGUCGACUGGUUGUUGGGGGGUUUGACACUCUCAGUAACGAAGCUAACGCGUGAAGUCGACCGCCUGGGGAGUACGGCCGCAAGGUUAAAACUCAAAGGAAUUGACGGGGACCCGCACAAGUGGUGGAUUAUGUGGAUUAAUUCGAUGCAACGCGAAAAACCUUACCUACCCUUUACAUGUCCUGGAGCCUGGUGAAAGCCGGGUGUGCCCGAAAGGGAACGGGAACACAGGUGCUGCAUGGCUGUCGU
This 266-nucleotide ribosomal RNA is filed under the name uncultured bacterium. RNAcentral describes it as "partial 16S ribosomal RNA". It matches the Rfam family "Bacterial small subunit ribosomal RNA", at positions 793 to 1055 of the family's 1533-position model. The record is from RNAcentral.